UAAUUUUGCUUCACAGAUUUUUCCCUUGUGAGUUUUAACUUUCAGGGUAGAAUUCUCUCUUAUGGUUUCACCUUUUUCCUAUUUUGUGUAUCUGUGAGGAGUUGCGCAAAUAAGGCUCCUCUCAGCAUUGCAAAUGGAAUCAGGUCAUGCUCCCAAGUGCCCUUCACCUCAAGACUCCUGAUUGUUUCUUCCUUAUUUGUUGUGAGCAGGCCCAAAUUGCCUCACCUCUAGCUGCCCUUUCCACUUUAUGAAACAAGCGACUAAUAGCAACGCAACUCUAAAAAUUCCCGGAUGACCUACAUGUUGCUCUUUUUAUUAUCCCUUAAGAAGUGUCUCCGUAAUUGAAAUCUAGAGUAGCAGAGUUUUGUGAUCUUGUCAUCUAGCAUUUUACUUAUGUUUGCCUUAUUUAUACGGUGCCUUUAAACCCCAGGGUGGUCAAAGUCUGCCCGCGGGACCUGCAGGACUGAAACCAAGAAUGUCGUCAUUAAUUCAAAGAUACCUGAAGGCAGAGGAGAGAACCUUUUGGCCUUGGGUCCAUAACUCAGUUUUGCAGUAGGGAAGACCAGAACAGGCUCGUGAAGAGAUUUACCAUGAAGGGGCCAGUGUACCGUUUCCUGGGCAAGCUUCGUUGUGUCUUGCUCUGUUCUGAGCAUCAUUAGAGCCCUCGUUUGAGACAAAUGGGCUCCAUCAGUUCUCCACCAUUCAGGCCCGUAGGAGGAAGAUGGCACGUGAGUGAAGCUUCGACAUGGCAGUCACCUUCCCUUUAUUUCUGCUCUCCCUUCUUUUUGGGUAAUGAAUCGGGGUGUCGUUAGUUGCCUGCCUUGUGUUCAUCACUGUCAGUACUGGCAGGGUAACAGAUAAUGGCAGAGAUUCAAGGCCACCCAGGGAAUGAAGCCUGACAGGACCUCAUUUAUCACUCCCCUUUUAGGGGGUCUCUGUGGUAGAACUAGCUUCAAAGCUGUAAUCGAAGCUCACCAGGUCGCACAGGGGCCAGGCAGGAUUGCUCCGCCAAAAAGCAAC
Molecule: long non-coding RNA, 1020 nt
Organism: Neofelis nebulosa (Clouded leopard)
Lineage: Eukaryota; Metazoa; Chordata; Mammalia; Carnivora; Felidae
Exons: 3
Source: RefSeq, a predicted model, not a curated record